Drosophila albomicans is the source of this 525-nucleotide long non-coding RNA. RefSeq lists it as uncharacterized. The transcript has 3 exons. Lineage: Eukaryota; Metazoa; Arthropoda; Insecta; Diptera; Drosophilidae. The record is from RefSeq and is a predicted model, not a curated record.
CAGUUCUGUUUUCGGCUCGAUCGAGUCGAGAGCUCAAAAUCAAAAUUUUUAGUUUUGAAUUUUCAACACACGCUGAGUUUCUUGUGACUUUUUUUAUGAUGGUACCACGGACUAGAAACGGGCCUGGUGCGACGAGGGCUUCAUAAACUCAAGGGACUGCUACUGAGAACUGACAUUUACGUAACCAUAUCUUUACACUCUCUAAAUGAAUAUCGCAUACACUUACAUUGAAAGCAGUAAAAAGUAAUCACACGCACACACAGACGUUUCAAAUUUGUUAUAAACACACGCAUUAUGUUGUUAAUCAAGACACUUAAUUCACAAAUACCUUAAGAUAUAUGUAUGUGCAAAACAAAUAUAUUGAAUCAUCACUUUGAAAGUUCAACGUUAUCGUUAAAAGCCGUUUUGAGGGGAGCAUCUGAACACAUAAUCAAAAACUUGACUGCAAAUUGAGUAUUAUAAAAACUGUUUAAUUUUCUAAACGGAAAUUGGAUUAUUAAUUAUAUUAAUAUUAAUCUUUAACAA